Molecule: transfer RNA, 73 nt
Filed under: Camelus bactrianus (Bactrian camel)
Lineage: Eukaryota; Metazoa; Chordata; Mammalia; Artiodactyla; Camelidae
Also listed under: 2 other names
Rfam family: tRNA
About the family: Transfer RNA (tRNA) molecules are approximately 80 nucleotides in length. Their secondary structure includes four short double-helical elements and three loops (D, anti-codon, and T loops).
Source: Rfam by way of RNAcentral
GAAGGUAUAGCUCAAGUGGUAGAGCACAUGCUUAGCAUGCAUGAGGUCCUGGGUUCAAUCCCCGCUAACUCCU